AAUUGGAUAUGGGUAUUGUAGCUGAAACGUCUUGCGAGCUGAGUCAGGGUCGGGGAAGCUGUGAUGGCAAUGAGAAGUCAACACACUGAGGAUGGAGAGAAAGAAGAUGAGUCUGGGAGAGAAAGAGAAUGAUUCUUCUGGCCGAGGGAAAGCAAGAAUAUCUGUUCCUGCAACUGCACUGAUUCUAGAAACACUCUCUAUUCGAACUCUCAUGAGGUGCUGACCUGCUUGGUGAAUGCUGGGAUCUCUGGAAGAGGGAGGCAGACAUCACACACCAGCUGGCAAGUGGGAGCUGGCAUGCAACAUGCCCCAAUACCACUCCCCUCCUGCCAUCCCUAUCUCCUAAUGGUGCCUCCUUUUGGCCAAACCCACCUUUGGCUGGAGGGCAACAGAGCCCAUUGACGUGGUCCCCUUGCAUCUGCUACCUGGGGAGAAAAGCAGGAUGGACACUGAAUCUAGAGAAAUGAAGAAACCCAUCCAGAAGAAUACUGCUUCUUUAUGUUUUUGUAGAGCGGCCCAGCCCUUGGAAUGUGUUUCUGCCACGACAAGGAAUACAGGAGGAGUUGAACAGGAAACCUGCCUCCUAUCAGAUUCACCUGAGGACGUGGGUUGUCACGAGCUCCCCAAACAAUAAAGCACUUUACGACAUAGGAGGCAUUAUUAUUAAGCUGUUUUCAGUCCCUGAUACCUGCAUGUUGUAGGACCAUGGUGCAUGAAGGAUUUUAAGGAGGCACUUUUGAAAUGUGAAAGGGACAUAGACUGUACAUCUGGAGCACAAAGGCAGGUUUAACCAGCUUUGUCCUGCUCGGCGCCAGUUGGAAGAGAGCAUCUGGCUUUGAAGUGUCUAAAGCCAGGCGUGACGCUGGAUUCUACAGCUGGGACUAGAAACAGAUCUGGCAGGUGGAUAUGCAAUCAUUCCUAUGUGAUGAAGCUCCAGUAAAAUCUCUGGACACCAGCACAGGAUGGGAUGUCCUUUUGCAGAGGAAGCCCAGGUUGGACUUGAACUUCUGGGCUCAAGUUGCCCAUGCUGGACUUGAACUCCUGGGCUCAAGUGGUCCUCUGGCCUCAGCCUCCCAUGUAGCUGAGUCUACUGAUGUAUACCAUCACACCUGGCUUUUUCUUUUCAUUGGAAAAUUUAGUCCAUUUACAUUUAAAGUAAUUGUAAUAGUACCCCUUCUAUUACGAGGGAGGAAAAUAAAACUCAGAUUUCAGGAAUCAAUCAAGGUCAUGUAGCAACCUGGUGGUCAGCCAGAGCUAGAAAUUAUCAAAUAUGAUGAUCCAGGACAGUGGUUCCCAAAUUGUGGUUCCUGAACCAGCAGCAUCAGUAUCAUAUAAAAACUUAUUUGAAAUGUAAAUUAUUGAGCAUAAUUCUACUGAAUCAAACUCCAGAGGUAAGA
This 1397-nucleotide long non-coding RNA is filed under the name Homo sapiens (human). RNAcentral describes it as "HSALNT0394332". The record is from RNAcentral. Lineage: Eukaryota; Metazoa; Chordata; Mammalia; Primates; Hominidae.